This 482-nucleotide ribosomal RNA is filed under the name uncultured bacterium. Its description in RNAcentral is "partial 16S ribosomal RNA". It matches the Rfam family "Bacterial small subunit ribosomal RNA", at positions 30 to 507 of the family's 1533-position model. The record is from RNAcentral.
AUUGAACGCUGGCGGCAUGCCUUACACAUGCAAGUCGAACGGUAACAGGUCUUCGGAUGCUGACGAGUGGUGAACGGGUGAGUAAUACAUCGGAACGUGCCCAGACGUGGGGGAUAACGAGGCGAAAGCUUUGCUAAUACCGCAUACGAUCUAAGGAUGAAAGCAGGGGACCGCAAGGCCUUGUGCGUUUGGAGCGGCCGAUGGCAGAUUAGGUAGUUGGUGGGAUAAAAGCUUACCAAGCCGACGAUCUGUAGCUGGUCUGAGAGGACGACCAGCCACACUGGGACUGAGACAUGGCCCAGACUCCUACGGGAGGCAGCAGUGGGGAAUUUUGGACAAUGGGCGAAAGCCUGAUCCAGCAAUGCCGCGUGCAGGAUGAAGGCCUUCGGGUUGUAAACUGCUUUUGUACGGAACGAAAAGGCUCUGGCUAAUACCUGGGGCACAUGACGGUACCGUAAGAAUAAGCACCGGCUAACUACGUG